This 429-nucleotide ribosomal RNA is filed under the name Chloroflexota bacterium. RNAcentral describes it as "Chloroflexi bacterium partial 16S ribosomal RNA". It matches the Rfam family "Bacterial small subunit ribosomal RNA", at positions 355 to 776 of the family's 1533-position model. The record is from RNAcentral. Lineage: Bacteria; Bacillati; Chloroflexota.
UGGGGAAUAUUGCACAAUGGGCGCAAGCCUGAUGCAGCCAUGCCGCGUGUAUGAAGAAGGCCUUCGGGUUGUAAAGUACUUUCAGCGGGGAGGAAGGGAGUAAAGUUAAUACCCUUGCUCAUUGACGUUACCCGCAGAAGAAGCACCGGCUAACUCCGUGCCAGCAGCCGCGGUAAUACGGAGGGUGCAAGCGUUAAUCGGAAUUACUGGGCGUAAAGCGCACGCAGGCGGUUUGUUAAGUCAGAUGUGAAAUCCCCGGGCUCAACCUGGGAACUGCAUCUGAUACUGGCAAGCUUGAGUCUCGUAGAGGGGGGUAGAAUUCCAGGUGUAGCGGUGAAAUGCGUAGAGAUCUGGAGGAAUACCGGUGGCGAAGGCGGCCCCCUGGACGAAGACUGACGCUCAGGUGCGAAAGCGUGGGGAGCAAACAGG